GAUGAACGCUGGCGGCGUGCCUAAUACAUGCAAGUCGAGCGAACAGACGAGGAGCUUGCUCCUCUGACGUUAGCGGCGGACGGGUGAGUAACACGUGGAUAACCUACCUAUAAGACUGGGAUAACUUCGGGAAACCGGAGCUAAUACCGGAUAAUAUAUUGAACCGCAUGGUUCAAUAGUGAAAGACGGUUUUGCUGUCACUUAUAGAUGGAUCCGCGCCGCAUUAGCUAGUUGGUAAGGUAACGGCUUACCAAGGCAACGAUGCGUAGCCGACCUGAGAGGGUGAUCAGCCACACUGGAACUGAGACACGGUCCAGACUCCUACGGGAGGCAGCAGUAGGGAAUCUUCCGCAAUGGGCGAAAGCCUGACGGAGCAACGCCGCGUGAGUGAUGAAGGUCUUCGGAUCGUAAAACUCUGUUGUUAGGGAAGAACAAAUGUGUAAGUAACUAUGCACGUCUUGACGGUACCUAAUCAGAAAGCCACGGCUAACUACGUG
Molecule: ribosomal RNA, 497 nt
Filed under: uncultured bacterium
Lineage: Bacteria
Description: partial 16S ribosomal RNA
Rfam family: Bacterial small subunit ribosomal RNA
Source: RNAcentral